This is a non-coding RNA of Cicer arietinum (chickpea), 545 nucleotides long. NCBI's taxonomy places the organism in Eukaryota, Viridiplantae, Streptophyta, Magnoliopsida, Fabales, Fabaceae. The record is from RefSeq and is a predicted model, not a curated record.
ACCUCUUGAGUCUGGCCCAAUUACUUGCACUUGUUAACAACCUGGUAUGCCAAAACAAGAAUCAACCCCUAAAGCCACCAAGUCUGCUGAUGAGUCUCAGCAAUCAGAUGCCACACUUAUUGCUAACGGUUUAAGUUCAAAAAAGCGGAGAAUAAUCCAUAGGAAGGCUAACAAAAAGGCACGAUUGGAAGCUCAGUUACAGUCUUUAUCUGCUAACCAAGUUUUUCCUUGUACUUCCAUGGCACAAUAACAAUGUGUAAGUGCAGGUGGCCUAACCAAGUUUCUCUUUGUACGUCCAUGGCACAUUAACGAUGUGUAAAUGUAAUAGAAUUAGAAUUAUAAAAUCACAUGAUCAAUAUCAGGAAAAUAACAUAGGUGGCACCUAGUCAAUGACCUCUUAGUCAUAGUCACUAAGUACUUUAAGUAAUGUGAUUGUGUAGCAUUAUAACAUGUUUAUCUUCAUGUUGUUCCUAGUCCUAGCAACUGUAUUGAUGUUUGUGAAAUUGUGUUACUUAUUAACAUUGAAUGUCUUCAUGUUGUUCCUA